GCCUUGUGUGUCAACGCCAGUUCGCGAUCGAGGAAAACUCCAGGGUCAUGGUAGCUCGUCUACGGGUGAGUGAAUAGCCUUGGCAGAACUCAUUUGCGGACUGUUUCUUUCGUGUCUGGUUGCAGUGUCCUUGGCAUUCUGGAAGCUCGUCUUGGCUUGCCACUGGCGGGGGACCUGGGUGACUUGGGCAUUUCCCUGACACAAAGACGAUGACUAAAUGGUUCUAUUCGACCCGUCUUGAAACACGGACCAAGGAGUCUAACAUAUGUGCGAGUCCACGGGUGGUAAACCUGCUGGCGCAGUGAAAGCGACUGCUGGGAUCUUUGCACCAGCAACCGACCAAUCAAUUGAGAGAGGUUUGAGUAUGAGCAUAUCUGUUAGGACCCGAAAGAUGGUGAACUAUGCCUGAGAAGGGCAAACUCAGGGGAAACU
Molecule: ribosomal RNA, 432 nt
Filed under: Prorocentrum cordatum
Lineage: Eukaryota; Dinophyceae; Prorocentrales; Prorocentraceae
Description: partial large subunit ribosomal RNA
Rfam family: Eukaryotic large subunit ribosomal RNA
Source: RNAcentral